Molecule: ribosomal RNA, 425 nt
Filed under: uncultured bacterium
Lineage: Bacteria
Description: partial 16S ribosomal RNA
Rfam family: Bacterial small subunit ribosomal RNA
Source: RNAcentral
GUGGGGAAUAUUGGACAAUGGGCGCAAGCCUGAUCCAGCCAUGCCGCGUGAGUGAUGAAGGCCUUAGGGUUGUAAAGCUCUUUUGUCCGGGAAGAUAAUGACUGUACCGGAAGAAUAAGCCCCGGCUAACUUCGUGCCAGCAGCCGCGGUAAUACGAAGGGGGCUAGCGUUGUUCGGAAUCACUGGGCGUAAAGCGCACGUAGGCGGACCAUUAAGUCAGGGGUGAAAGCCUGGAGCUCAACUCCAGAACUGCCUUUGAUACUGAUGGUCUCGAGUAUGGAAGAGGUUGGUGGAACUGCGAGUGUAGAGGUGAAAUUCGUAGAUAUUCGCAAGAACACCGGUGGUGAAGGCGGCCAACUGGUCCAUUACUGACGCUGAGGUGCGAAAGCGUGGGGAGCAAACAGGAUUAGAUACCCGGGUAGUCC